AAGGCGCUGGUCAACUGGGCACGGUCCAGCCGGUUUGCCGGAUCCGCCGAUCGCGCGGCGGUGCGGGACCAUGUGUUCGAUGCGCUGCGCCGGA
RNAcentral lists this transfer RNA (94 nucleotides) under Gemmobacter megaterium. Its description in RNAcentral is "tRNA-Gly". Lineage: Bacteria; Pseudomonadati; Pseudomonadota; Alphaproteobacteria; Rhodobacterales; Paracoccaceae. The record is from RNAcentral.